GGUAGCUCAGUGGUAGAGUGCUUGCCUUGCAUGCAUGAGGCCCUGGGUUCGAUUCCUCAGUACUA
Molecule: transfer RNA, 65 nt
Filed under: Dipodomys ordii (Ord's kangaroo rat)
Lineage: Eukaryota; Metazoa; Chordata; Mammalia; Rodentia; Heteromyidae
Rfam family: tRNA
About the family: Transfer RNA (tRNA) molecules are approximately 80 nucleotides in length. Their secondary structure includes four short double-helical elements and three loops (D, anti-codon, and T loops). Further hydrogen bonds mediate the characteristic L-shaped molecular structure. tRNAs have two regions of fundamental functional importance: the anti-codon, which is responsible for specific mRNA codon recognition, and the 3' end, to which the tRNAs corresponding amino acid is attached (by aminoacyl-tRNA synthetases). tRNAs cope with the degeneracy of the genetic code in two manners: having more than one tRNA (with a specific anti-codon) for a particular amino acid; and 'wobble' base-pairing, i.e. permitting non-standard base-pairing at the 3rd anti-codon position.
Source: Rfam by way of RNAcentral